AUGUUCACUGUUAUACUGAUGUGUCUGUGGCUUUCACUAGGUGACUCCAUGGCAGAUCCAGUAGAGCCACUUGUACCUCAAAAGUUGUAGAUGAAGGUGAAGAUGUGACUCUGUCCUGCAGCUACAAAGACUUCAGUGGUUCUGUAAACAGACUGUACUGGUACAGACAAUAUCCAAAAUCUAACCCUAAAUUUCUCCUUUAUAUUUAUCCAAGUGGAAGCCUUAGUUCCAACGUCCCACCACGUUUGAAUGCUAAAGUGGAUAGUAAUAAAAAACAAGUGGAUCUGAUCAUCUCCUCUGCUGCUGUAUCAGACUCUGCUCUAUACCACUGUGCUGUGGAGCCCACAAUAACAGGAACUCCAGCUGCACUGUACAAAAACCUUCACAGAGUUUUAUUCCACUGA
Silurus meridionalis is the source of this 404-nucleotide non-coding RNA. NCBI's taxonomy places the organism in Eukaryota, Metazoa, Chordata, Actinopteri, Siluriformes, Siluridae. The record is from the annotation of a RefSeq genome assembly.